This 90-nucleotide transfer RNA is filed under the name Acetobacter oeni. RNAcentral describes it as "tRNA-Gly". Lineage: Bacteria; Pseudomonadati; Pseudomonadota; Alphaproteobacteria; Acetobacterales; Acetobacteraceae. The record is from RNAcentral.
CCCCGGGUGGACAGUGGAAGCGUCUGCCGAUUGCCGAUCUGUCUGAUGUCGGGACGGACAGCGGUCCGUUCCAUGCCGGGCAUCCGGGGA